Non-coding RNA from Arachis ipaensis, 1715 nucleotides. NCBI's taxonomy places the organism in Eukaryota, Viridiplantae, Streptophyta, Magnoliopsida, Fabales, Fabaceae. The record is from RefSeq and is a predicted model, not a curated record.
GGUCUUCAGCGCCGCCGCUUCUUCUUCUUCCCCGUGUCCGGAACCCAGUAGAUCGGCACGUCGUCUUCAUCUUCGCCGGCUUCUCGGCACGGAACCCAGUUGUUGGUUUUGCUUUGAUUUGUAGUUGCUGGCUUCUAAUUAUUGCUGGUUUUGCUGGCUUUGUUUGUUGCUGAAUGUUGCUGGUUUUGCUGGCUUUGUUUGUUGCCGAUUGCCGUUCGUCGAAGACCGGUUGGACUAGUAAACCAGUGAACCAGUGACUAGAGCGGUUUGAUAACCGGUCCGGUUCUCAGAACCUUGCUCGUGAUCUCGUCUCCUCUCCUCUCCACUCCUCCUCAAAGCUCAAACCAUUAGUCCCUCUCCUUCUCAAACACCGCUGACCGCCGACCGCCGCCUCCCACCUGAUGGCGUCGCAGUCUCGUCUCGUCUCAUCUCCACUCCUCCUCAAAGUUCAAACCCUCAGCCCCUUCUAUCUCCUUUCCAAACACCGCCGAUCGCCGCCUCCCACGACCCAGCGCCGCCUCCCACCUCCCGAGUGGCUCGAUCUCUCACUGGUGGUCCCGAACUCACCGUCGCCGGUCGUCGUCUUCUCCUCUUUGCCGUUCGUCUGCCAAAUCGCCGGUCUUUGCUGUGGUUUCUGCCUCGGGGGUUCCAAGGACUGAGGAGGAACAGAAUAUUUUUACUUGGAUUACAAAAGUUGGGCAAAGGUGAUUGGCGUCAAAGCAAUUGCUUAGACAUGAUAGUCUUCAAUCUUGCCAACAUGCAUUAUUGGUCCCAAAGGAGGAAGACUAUAUUGAAUGGUUUAAAAAUGCUGGCUUCAAAGACGGCAAGCUCAAAAGGAUAGGUCCAAAGUGGUACCGUGGUGUGCGGAGGCAUGGUUUGAUCAUGGGUUGCUCUGUGAUUGAUGUGAAGCCAUUUUGUGGAGACUUUCCCCUCAAGGUAAUACCUAAUUUCUUCAUCUCCUUUACUUUAUAAUGUUUUCUUUAAUUUAGUUUGUUAUGCAGCUUGGUCCAAAGGUAGAGGAUGUGAAGAAGCCUGUGAAUCCACUUGUGUUUUUUUCUUGAUUAAUUCUUUGUGCAAUUGAGCUCUAUGGCAUCAGGAAGGAAGUCGCAUCCAGUACGUCCUGACAUGUUUCUUGAGACCGUCUCCAAGUUAAUGUCAAAGUCAUGCUUGUUACAUUUUAUUCUUUGAAAAAGAUUGCUAGAAGAAGGAAUGCACACUUGAUUAAGUACCCUGAUGCCAAAGUAAUAAGCCUUGGAAUUGGUGAUACUACUGAACCCAUUCCUGAUGCCAUAACUUCUGCAAUGUCAAAGAGAUCACAUGCAUUAUCAACCGUAGAAGGAUAUAGUGGUUAAGGAGCUGAACAAGGUGAACAGCCACUAAGAAGUGCAAUUGCUUCAACAUUUUACCGUGAUCUUGGCAUUGAAGAUGAUGCCAUAUUUGUGUCAGAUGGAGCCGUUAAGUUGAGCACUGUGAUGGAUGCCUCGAGAAGAAACUAUAAAAAAGACUAAACGGAGGGAAAAAAAGAAGAGAAGAAAAAAGAAUGCUUGUGUAUAUCAUCCCUACAUGAAUUGUACUGUGUAGUAUAGUAGUAGUAGUAGUAGGCUUCCUUUGUUAAUAAAUAUAAACAUACUUGGAGUAAUUUAAUUCAAAAUCUAACUUUAUUUUUUUGCAAGUCAUUAUGGAUGGUAAAAUCUUUAGUCAAAAGUAUUAGCAUA